Molecule: ribosomal RNA, 408 nt
Filed under: Fusobacteriota bacterium
Lineage: Bacteria; Fusobacteriati; Fusobacteriota
Description: Fusobacteria bacterium partial 16S ribosomal RNA
Rfam family: Bacterial small subunit ribosomal RNA
Source: RNAcentral
UGGGGAAUAUUGCACAAUGGACGGAAGUCUGAUGCAGCAACGCCGCGUGCGGGAUGACGGCCUUCGGGUUGUAAACCGCUUUUUCUCAUGACGAAGUUUUUUGACGGUAGUGGGGGAAGAAGCACCGGCUAACUACGUGCCAGCAGCCGCGGUGAUACGUAGGGUGCGAGUGUUGUCCGGAAUUAUUGGGCGUAAAGAGCUUGUAGGCGGUUUGUCGCGUCGAUAGUGCAAACUCAGUGCUUAACGCUGAGCCUGCUGUUGAUACGGGCAGACUAGAGGAAGGUAGGGGAGAAUGGAAUUCCCGGUGGAGCGGUGGAAUGCGCAGAUAUCGGGAGGAAAACCGGUGGCGAAGGCGGUUCUCUGGGCCUUUCCUGACGCUGAGAAGCGAAAGCGUGGGGAGCGAACAGG